CGGGUGAGUAACACGUAUCCAACCUACCGGUUAUUCCGGGAUAGCCUUUCGAAAGAAAGAUUAAUACCGGAUAGCAUAGCGAGAAGGCAUCUUCUUGUUAUUAAAGAAUUUCGAUGACCGAUGGGGAUGCGUUCCAUUAGUUUGUUGGCGGGGUAACGGCCCACCAAGACAUCGAUGGAUAGGGGUUCUGAGAGGAAGGUCCCCCACAUUGGAACUGAGACACGGUCCAAACUCC
This 235-nucleotide ribosomal RNA is filed under the name uncultured Bacteroides sp. RNAcentral's name for it is "partial 16S ribosomal RNA". It matches the Rfam family "Bacterial small subunit ribosomal RNA", at positions 103 to 339 of the family's 1533-position model. The record is from RNAcentral. Lineage: Bacteria; Pseudomonadati; Bacteroidota; Bacteroidia; Bacteroidales; Bacteroidaceae.